GUGGAGACAAAGGCAGCUGCACUUGCAGGGGGUUAUCCUUUUCUUUUGUUUUUUUUUUGGCAACUGAAGUCCUAACCUGGUUAGUUCCUGACAUUUUUUUGAGAAGGUUUUUUUUCCCUCUCUCAACUUGGCCUAGGUUUUGUGUAGCCAAGUUUGCUGGUGGGUCUGUUGUACACAUGGCUGGCUCCCGCUGUCAUCAACAAGUCAUUUUUCCAGUGUACUUCAAGCCUAGAAGUGGUUCCUUGAGGCUGCUGACAGCUCAGUGAACGUAUGAGAGAGACACGCUACCUGGAAGACUUUCCAUAUGAAUGCAGAGGUCUGCUCUCAUGGAGUUCUUUAUGUACAAUGGAUGGAUUUCAUUGACAGAUUUCAUAGGUGGAGGUUUGAUCGAGGAAUGAGAUAGAAAUGAGCUUCAAGCAAGUUCAACCAAGCCUUGUGCAGAGCUGAGAAGAUGUGCUGUUCCCUCACCCCCACUCUAACUUUCAAAUCCUAUGUCAAUGACUUAACCCAAGAGCUGGACUUCCUCUCCUGUAAAACUAUUCUAAACUCAGGUUACUGCUUGGGACUGUUCCUUGAUUUAUUCAACUAAAAGAAUGCCUUGAAGAUGCUGGUCUAAGGGUAUAAGAAUGAAGUGAAAAUGGCUAACAGUAUGCGCUUCAAGAGUGAGAAAUCUCUCUGACACCAACUACUGCUGCACCCCAGCCAUCUCAAGAAGCUGGAAGAAACAGACUCUCUCUCUUAUGGCCUGUUUGGUGAGAAACCAU
Alligator sinensis (Chinese alligator) is the source of this 764-nucleotide long non-coding RNA. RefSeq lists it as uncharacterized. The record is from RefSeq and is a predicted model, not a curated record. Lineage: Eukaryota; Metazoa; Chordata; Crocodylia; Alligatoridae. The transcript has 4 exons.